RNAcentral lists this unclassified non-coding RNA (415 nucleotides) under Hevea brasiliensis (rubber tree). Lineage: Eukaryota; Viridiplantae; Streptophyta; Magnoliopsida; Malpighiales; Euphorbiaceae. The record is from RNAcentral.
GGAUCAGAUUAAAUUAAAAUUUCACAUAAAUAAUCUCACAAAAGAUUUGGAUUUCUUUUAUCACUAAGCCUAAAAUGAAAGCAAAAAAUUUUGAAUUUGUAGUUCUCAUCACUUGAGACCAAAACUUUGGCAAAUAAAAAAUAAAUAAACAUGUCUAUACUGAGGCUAAUGAAACUACCAAAUACCAAUGACAAGGUAAAUUAAAUAACUUCUUCGUUAUUUAAAAGAACAAGAAAGUGGAGAUCACAAAAGAUUAGCAUUGUUUUUCUCACUAAUUUUCCCGAGCUUUCUCAGGAACCAAGCAAAAAAUUUUUACAAAAGAAAAUGAAAAGGCGAUAACUCCUGCGACAACUGCUAAGUUCGAAAACCAACAGCUACUAAAAAUAAAUCAGAAAAUUUUUCAAAAGAAAAAAGA